GUCGACGUACUUCAGUAUGUAACUUACCCAUAAGUUUCCAAUUCCCAAUAGCAUUCCAGUGAUAAAUAUUGUUACUUUCCAGACAAAUGUGACUUUGGAUUCACACAUUGCAGUGGUUUUAUGCUAUUUUCAAUUUAAAUUUGAGCACCAUUUGACUAACACAUUCUAUAGUAGGAUCAUUUCUAUAGGAAUCGUCACUCUUUGACUCUUCAAAAGAGCCACUGAAUCCAACUUGGUUGAUGAGCCACAGAACCUUUGUACCCCAGAGUGAGAAACAAACCCAAUGGAGGUGACAUCUCUUCCGAAAGGAAGAUGCAGUUUGGUUCCGUAAUCCUAAGCGGUUCGGUCAUCUGUACUGUCCCUUCGCCCAACCCUUACGUUUUGCUGUUUGCGUAUAGAAUUGGUUUGAUGCCCACAGGACUUCGGUCUUGCGGGUGGACGACCUCUUCGACCCCUUCAAAAUGGCGCGAUGAUCUUUACCCAUCUUGUGUACUUCUCUUCGUGGAAGGGACAAGUUUUUAUGGCCUAGGAGUUGAUAUCUUUCGGGACAUCUUCUCUGUUUGGGUCUUGGGUGGGUACAAAUGGCAGUCUGACAAGU
This 598-nucleotide small nucleolar RNA is filed under the name Nakaseomyces glabratus. Its description in RNAcentral is "[Candida] glabrata U3 RNA". The stretch from base 157 to 598 matches the Rfam family "Fungal small nucleolar RNA U3". Rfam says of the family: Small nucleolar RNAs (snoRNAs) are involved in the processing and modification of rRNA in the nucleolus. There are two main classes of snoRNAs: the box C/D class, and the box H/ACA class. U3 snoRNA is a member of the box C/D class. Lineage: Eukaryota; Fungi; Ascomycota; Saccharomycetes; Saccharomycetales; Saccharomycetaceae. The record is from RNAcentral.